Molecule: transfer RNA, 73 nt
Filed under: Ailuropoda melanoleuca (giant panda)
Lineage: Eukaryota; Metazoa; Chordata; Mammalia; Carnivora; Ursidae
Rfam family: tRNA
About the family: Transfer RNA (tRNA) molecules are approximately 80 nucleotides in length.
Source: Rfam by way of RNAcentral
GCCUGGUUGUCUCAGUUGGUAGAGUGUGUGACUUUCGAUCUUGGGGUUAUAGGUUUGAGCCCUACAUUGGGUG